This is a long non-coding RNA of Archocentrus centrarchus (flier cichlid), 321 nucleotides long. RefSeq lists it as uncharacterized. The record is from RefSeq and is a predicted model, not a curated record. NCBI's taxonomy places the organism in Eukaryota, Metazoa, Chordata, Actinopteri, Cichliformes, Cichlidae. The transcript is spliced from 3 exons.
GACUGUCUUAUCGCCGUCUACAGCCGCAUCUUUGAGGGAACUCCGGGCAGAUUGCUGCUCAUCUACAGAAAAGAAGGAAAACAUCUCGACGUAGAUGAGCUGAAGGCCGCCGAGAGCCUCCACAGGAAGCUGGCUGAGUGCCUGAAGUUCAACAUUGAGACAAAUUUCAGAUAUGACGGGAAGGCAGGUUUUUGUCUUGAAACAAAAGAAGAACAGAGAAAAGUCUGAAGACGGCGAAACGACUUCAUGUUUUAUCUCAGAAUCAGUUCAUUAAAAUAUCUGUUUAUGUCACUGAAGAGUAAAGACUGAAUGAUAACCAUA